AUGUCAGUCAAUUGCAUUGAGUAUGUAUUUAAUUUUUAUUUCUUUUUACCGAUCUAUUUGUUUCAGAAAAAUGCCCUUAAAGGGAAGGUUGAAAAAACCGGAGUCGUUGCCACUGCGAGAGGGUUUAUUAGAAAAAUAUUAGACCCUUCACUCUUUGUGCAUUUCAACUGGAAAGGACAAGGAGACCCAAAUAAAAGUGCUUUCACGGAUAUGAAAUUCUAUGAAAUGCAAAAAAGUAUCGUUACUGAAUUGUGGGGCGAUAGUCAUGCCGUUUUAUCAAAACUUGACAAGACUUGCAGCACAUUUUUGGUGCAAGAGGCGGGCAAGUUAAAGAGGUGAGUUCUUCUCAACAAGAUAUGAUCAUUGAAUGAUGAGCUAUUUCAACAAUUUUCUUUUAUUCUCUCUUUUUUUUUUUUUUUUGGCUUGAGAAUGCUUAAAAAGAGACUACUGGACACGCACCGUCUCUUGUCGAAAAUCAAGAUUUUUACUCCUUGAUUAUUUACAUCACCACUCACUAUUUCUCCUGAGUCUUCACCGAAAAUUGACCUGCUAGAAGCUGGCAUUGAAAUUAGUGCUCACACUUGGAUGUAAUUGUAACGUCUUUCCUCAGCUGUGACAGUCAGGGAUUAAUUUAUUUCUUGUUUUUCAGGCGCAAUCAGGAAAUUCCAGAUUCUGCUGAGAUGGAUGAUUCCAGUUCCGAAGAGGAAAAUUCGGAAAAUGAAUCAGCAACUGAAGAUGAUGCCUCUCUCUCCCACUGAUAGUAUUUGUGAGAAUUUUCCUUUUUUUAGUUACCAUGUUACUUAUGCAUAUCUCCAAAAAUUUAUUUUCCUUGGUCAUUAUUCUUUGUCUGUAUUGUUCUUAUUUAAGUAUGUCUUGAUACUUAAUUGUCAGUAGCCAAAACUCUGAAUAUUAUUUUCACUGGCUGUGUGCAACAUUUUUUACACAACUACCAAGAUUUCGACCUUAGUCAAAUUUCGGUUAAUUUGUUCAACUCAAAGUGUUAAAAACACUUUAUAAAUAACUUAAGUUCAUUGUGUUUAUGUUCGAAAGUGUCAUAAAGUCUCUUGCAACUGUCAUGGAGUUCAUUAAAACAAUAAGCCUAAUGAUGCAAUGAACAUUAGAGGGGCUUGGAGGACAAGGCGCAUAAGUGCAUUGUUUGAAAAAAUUGAGAUAUUAAUGUUUCAUCCUAAAGUAGUUCUAAAAUAUAUUCUGUGACAAAUUCACCACAAAAAUUCAAUUCAAAGCAUCAAAAAGUGAGUUCCACUGUUUUUUUCUGAAAGUUUUUUUCUGGUGUGGGCUGUGUGUAAUUUUAAAACUUUAAAUGCAUAUUUCUUGAAAGAGCAAAACCCGCACUUUUGCGCCUUGUCCUCCAAGCUCCUCAUUUAACAAAUUAGCUUUUUGCUGCAAUAAAUAUUUAGCCUGUGAUUUUUUGUAAGGUAUUUAUCUGACAUUAGUCAUUUGUCAGCAAACUAUUUCGUUUGAAAUAUUUGUACUUGUGCUUCUAGUUUUUUCUCUCAUACUCAUUACUAUUUUCAACUAUUCAUUCAAUACGGUGGCCAAAUAUUUCUUGAAAUUAUUUGUUUUUGUGCCUUUAGUUUUUUCUCUCAUACUCAUUAAUAUUUUCCAAGUGCUCUAAAUAUUGUUUGUGUAAGUUGUCAAAUGAAAGUGUUCUAUUUUAUCCAUUCUUGAAAAGUUUUCUCUAAGAUGAGCUUUUCACAUUCAUUUUUGGAAAUGUAAUGUAGUCUCUAAUUUCUUUUCUGAAUGACAAGUGGACGUCUUCAACAAUGUGUUCCACUGAAUGUUGCGUUGUUGAUUUUGCACAAGAGAUCUCUUAGUCUUAUAUCUCAUUAUUGUUUAAUUCACAUUGUUUUGUUUCCUUAAAGUGUCCAAAUAAUACCUUGAAGGUUUACUCUUAACGGGUUUAAAUAAGACUUGUUUUUUCUAUGACUUUUUUGUUUCUGCAAAGUGUCUAAAUAUUUCCGUGUAAUACCUUGAAGGUUUACUCGACAGGUUUAAGUAAGACUCAUUUUUUCUAUGACUUUUUUUGUUUCCUCAAAGUGUCCAAAAUCCAUGUAAUACCUUGAAGGUUUACUCAAUGGGUUUAAAUAAGACUUGUUUUUUCUAUGACUUUAUUAAUAUAAAAAGUUUUGUUCCUUCAUAUUUCUUUGUUCUUAUAAAUUUGUAUUUUUCUCCUGUAAUUGUUUGAAACCGUUUCAAAGUUUUCUUCAGCAUUUCUAAUGUAAAGCUUUUAAGCAUAUAUAUACAUUUUUUAAAUUCAUCCAAACCUUAAAGGAACCUAAAAAAACAUAGUAUGUGGGCUUUCAAAUAAAUUUGAAUGUAUAGUUAUUUUUUUCUUGGAAAUGGAAGAAGAAAAUUUUGAAGUGUCUCCAUGGAAUUUUCUUGUUAUUGGACAUGAAUUUUCGUCCUUCACACAAAUCGACUUGACUGGAUUGCAACAUUUCUGUUACCAGGUCAACACUUCACUCUCAAUUUAUGAAAAGUUUGGUAUUUUAGCCUGAAAAUAACAGUUUUCGUCAAGAAAGAUAAAUUCAUUUUUCUAGCAAAAAUGUGUAAAAAUGAUACGUUGACAGAGUUACUGAAAUGUCUCAGUCCAGAUGUGUUGCUUUAUGUGGGGGAUGGUGACUUACGCCUAAUAAAAAAUAUAAGACAGGGUGUCUACAGGUCUGGAAAACCGGGAAAAUUCAGAGAAUUUUAUCAAAAAGACCGGAAAAGUUUGGAAAGAGUGCAUUCACACAACCUACCACCAGGCUGCGGAACUGGCUUUGUUAUGAGCAUGUAUUAGUUUCGUGAAUAUAAGUUUCAAGUAGGAUUUGGAAUUUUAGACGAUUGAGUGAUAGAUACUGAAGGGGAAAAGGUUCACAUGCUUUUAUCAGUUACGGUGAAACUAAUUUAAAAAAUAGUCUACAUACAAAAAAAUUGUUCAUUUUCAGCACUACACGUCAAAUUGUCGAUGUACAAAAUCAGGGAAUUUUGAUCAAUAUGGUCAGGGAAAAUCUGGAAAAGUCAGGGAAAUUUUUCUUCCCAAAUCUGUAGACACUCCGUAUGAAUGCACCAUUAAUACUGAAUAAAAAUAUUUUUGAGACUUGCAC
This 3110-nucleotide long non-coding RNA is filed under the name Bemisia tabaci. Its description in RNAcentral is "lncRNA ENSSSA1NGG004034". The record is from RNAcentral. Lineage: Eukaryota; Metazoa; Arthropoda; Insecta; Hemiptera; Aleyrodidae.